AUUUAAGUAAUUUAAAUUUAAAAUAUUAAUUUGUGGAAUUAAAAAUAUUUUCUUAAAUU
RNAcentral lists this transfer RNA (59 nucleotides) under Matsucoccus matsumurae. Its description in RNAcentral is "tRNA-His". Lineage: Eukaryota; Metazoa; Arthropoda; Insecta; Hemiptera; Margarodidae. The record is from RNAcentral.